GUGACAUGUUAGGACUCUAAUGAGUUUAAGACCUAAUGAGCCUCUUAAGUGAGGCCGCCAGCAACCUUUUUUUUCUCUACAUUUUAAAAAAAAAACUAAAAUUCUAUCCUUAUCGGUGGAUCACUAGGCUCGUGGAUCGAUGAAGAACGCAGCAAACUGCGAUAAUUAUUGCGAACUGCAGAAGUAUUGAGCACAAAAGUUUUGAACGCAAAUGGCCGCAUUGAGGUCAAACUCUUUGCAACGUCUGGUUCAGGGUCAU
This 259-nucleotide ribosomal RNA is filed under the name Meloidogyne incognita (southern root-knot nematode). RNAcentral's name for it is "5.8S ribosomal RNA". The stretch from base 105 to 258 matches the Rfam family "5.8S ribosomal RNA". Rfam says of the family: 5.8S ribosomal RNA (5.8S rRNA) is a component of the large subunit of the eukaryotic ribosome. Lineage: Eukaryota; Metazoa; Nematoda; Chromadorea; Rhabditida; Meloidogynidae. The record is from RNAcentral.